This 500-nucleotide ribosomal RNA is filed under the name uncultured bacterium. RNAcentral's name for it is "partial 16S ribosomal RNA". It matches the Rfam family "Bacterial small subunit ribosomal RNA", at positions 30 to 523 of the family's 1533-position model. The record is from RNAcentral.
AUUGAACGCUGGCGGCAGGCUUAACACAUGCAAGUCGAGCGGGGGAAGGUAGCUUGCUACCGGACCUAGCGGCGGACGGGUGAGUAAUGCUUAGGAAUCUGCCUAUUAGUGGGGGACAACAUCUCGAAAGGGAUGCUAAUACCGCAUACGUCCUACGGGAGAAAGCGGGGGAUCUUCGGACCUUGCGCUAAUAGAUGAGCCUAAGUCGGGUUAGCUAGUUGGUGGGGUAAAGGCCUACCAAGGCGACGAUCUGUAGCGGGUCUGAGAGGAUGAUCCGCCACACUGGGACUGAGACACGGCCCAGACUCCUACGGGAGGCAGCAGUGGGGAGUAUUGGACAAUGGGGGAACCCUGAUCCAGCCAUGCCGCGUGUGUGAAGAAGGCCUUAUGGUUGUAAAGCACUUUAAGCGAGGAGGAGGCUACUCUAGUUAAUACCUAGGGAUAGUGGACGUUACUCGCAGAAUAAGCACCGGCUAACUCUGUGCCAGCCGCCGCCGUAA